RNAcentral lists this ribosomal RNA (305 nucleotides) under uncultured bacterium. Its description in RNAcentral is "bacterial SSU rRNA". It matches the Rfam family "Bacterial small subunit ribosomal RNA", at positions 334 to 637 of the family's 1533-position model. The record is from RNAcentral.
GUGUCCUACGGGAGGCAGCAGUGAGGAAUAUUGGUCAAUGGCCGAGAGGCUGAACCAGCCAAGUCGCGUGAGGGAAGAAUGUCCUAUGGAUUGUAAACCUCUUUUGUCAGGGAACAAAGGCGGGGACGUGUCCCCGGAUGAGUGUACCUGAAGAAAAAGCAUCGGCUAACUCCGUGCCAGCAGCCGCGGUAAUACGGAGGAUGCGAGCGUUAUCCGGAUUUAUUGGGUUUAAAGGGUGCGCAGGCGGUCUGUUAAGUCAGCGGUCAAAGCCCGGGGCUCAACCCCGGCCCGCCGUUGAAACUGGC